Molecule: long non-coding RNA, 3362 nt
Filed under: Phaseolus vulgaris (common bean)
Lineage: Eukaryota; Viridiplantae; Streptophyta; Magnoliopsida; Fabales; Fabaceae
Description: long non-coding RNA (PVUL_LNC005131)
Source: RNAcentral
CUUCACUCUUAUAUAUAACAUAUCUAUUCUAUUUCCAAAACCUCUAACCACCAUAUAAAUUAUCCAAGAUAAUCUAGUUCCACUAUCUUCAUUUGGAAACCUGAGUUCCUUGCUUACUUAAUAAGCAUUAGUGUUUUUGCGUAUAGCAUCAUCCCUUUCUUUACGUUGGAGAUAAUAAAGAGUGAUGGAGCACCGACAAUCGAAGUUGCCUGAAUCUAACACAGCGAGAUACAGGUAAGGAGGUUAAUGUUUGAGAAAAAAUACUUUUUGAAAAUUGAUGUUGUUAAAGACCAUGGCCAGAUCUGAUUCUUUUGCAGUUUUAGUUACUAAAUCUAAUGUUAGAUUAGAGCUUUGACAAUAAUUACAGUUACUUCUUUCCUUUGGAGUCUGGGAUAAUGAUUCAAACUUAAUAUGAAUAGGAACAGGCAACUACACUCGAUCUCAGCAGCACGUGAAUGGUGCAUAACGUUAAGUUUUAAGUCUCCUACAGGAGUAACCAGCUUCAAGGAAGAAAACCUAUACUUCCUUUCAUUUACAAAGUACCUUAAGAAUUCUAUCUAUAGGCUGUACAAUAUCCUGUCACAAAAACCAUUUUUUAUGACUAUGUAUCAUUCAUAACUACGUCAGAAUCCUAUAUCAAAUUCCAGAGAAGCCCUGGUCCAAACCAACCAAGAGAAACCCAAAAGAGUAAGGCAGAACAGAAAUGGGUUAACACCAUUAAGUUCCGCAACUACUGAGUCGCUGAGCUAAUUGUUCAACCAAAUCUACUUUUCGAAGCUUAUAGUACUUUCUUACAUUGUGUUCCUUUGCCAUGGCCCUCAAAUCAGUCAAUGUCAAGCUAUUCAAAGAUGAGGUCUCAUCAUGGGAAUCCACCAAGGAAUGUGACUUGUUAGUAUGAGGAGCUAACUGGUUUUUGUUGUCCAAAGAAACCCCCUCUGAAUUUGGUACGUCUAAAUUAACACUUGAAUUUUGUAUGUCCACGGUGAUAGGCAACUUUGUAACUCUUCGUUUCUUUUGUAAUUCAGAAAAUUUACUAUCAUAAAGAACAAUAGCACGACCUUCAGUCUCAUGCUUGUCUGGUUGCACUGUCCCUCUAGUAGUAAUCUUCCGGUUCAUUGGCUCAUUUAAAAUGGUAACAUCAGUACAGGAUUUGGAUCUUCGCUGCCUCUUGGUUGAUACAAUUAUAGAUGUACUUGGAAUAACUUCCGUACAACUGUCAAAUGGUUCUCUGGAAGAUAAUGCCCCUAGUUCCAGUUUCUGCUUUUCCGAAGCUUUUAGCUUUGAAGGUAAAAGCAUGUUGGACUUUCUGAGGUUAGUAGUAAGUUGGGAUUUAAGGUCUUGUUCAUGUUCUUCCCCUUCACCUUCAUCCAUCAGCUGUAACCCAGCAUACAGUGCACUCUUGGUAUGCAUCCCUAUCAGUGAAAUCAAUGCAGAAUUUUCAGCAUUAAUAAGGGGUGGUGUUUUCAAUGUUGAGCACUAGUCCAGAAUUAUUACCAUUGCUAUCUUUAAAGGAGCAUAAUUCUGUAUCAGUGAUACAUAAUGUUUUAGGAUAAACAACUUGCAAAGGGAAAUUCAGAGGCUUCAAAUCUUCAUCUGGAGCAACCUUGGGUUCUUUGCUGUCGUCUCUUUGUGCAGCUGUUGGAGCAAAAUCACAUAGAUCUUUGUCUAAAUUGAAUUUUCCUCGUUUUUGUUGUUGUGAAGUAUCUAAAAUGGAAUGUGGACCCGUUUUCUUCCUACUGAUGUCAAUUGCAGGUCUAAAAUCAUCUGGGCUAACAUCUUUUUCUUUGACAAAUUCAUUUUCUUUCUGCACAAUUUAAGAAAAAUAUGCACUAAAAACCUUGUCUAAAAUUAAAAGUAAAAUGCUAACUGAUACAUACAAUAAGUUUAAAUUGAUUAGAAGGGGAGCAGCACUUCUUGCACCUUGGCUUCACUUUUGGCGCAAAACAAAUCCAUUAGACCUGUAUUUGUAUUAAUGAGUUGGCUUUUUCUGACUUCAUUUCCAGCAACUUGAUCAUCAAAUGUUUCUGAUAAUUUCAUUCUUUCAGAGUGGUAGGAUGCAAGAAUAAUGCCCCCCAAAUCAGGACUUCUCACAAGUGUUUCUUCAGACAAUUCCUUAAGAAAAAAAGAAAUCUAGUCAAAUGUAUCAUGCAUAAAAAUGGCUACCAAGGUUAGACCUUAAAAAAAUAGUAAAAAUAAAACAAUACAGUUUGUCAACGCAAGCUCAAUGUAAAGUCAGAAACCUGCUAUCGGCCUACCACUUACUGGGAUUUACUCUAUUUAGCUUAGGUUUCAACGCCAAACAAGUUCAUACUGUCAGGUUAAUCCCUUCUUAAAUGCUCCUUAAAGUUAAAGUUCUAAAGAAAAGCUUAAAAUAAAAAUCUGUUUGACCAUUAUAGUUUGAAAGCUCCUUUAAAAUUAAAACCUGCUUCUUUGUCCUAUGCUGAUUAGUUCAAGAUAAGGAGGCCUAAAUGUGAAGCUGUUUAGAAGCUACUUAUUUACCCGCCAUUUCUCUUAUAGAAAAUAUUGUCCUUAAUUUUACAGCUUCUCCUUAUAAAGAGAGAAAAAAAAAAAAAAAACUAGAAAGAAAAAAACUAGGUCAUAGCUGAUAUCUGAUGGCUCAUAGUUGACAGGCAACACAAGGUGGAUCUAAAAUUAACUUGUUUCUUGAGUUACUUCCUCAAGUUCCAUCUGAAUGGAGACUGCCAAUAUACUCUCCUCUACGGGUAGCCAGCUAGGUCAUGGAAUUUCGGGGUGUAAGCUUUUCAUGUUCUUUGAAGUCUGCUUGUCAUUAGACACAACUGUGAGCAUUGACCAAAAAUCAGUUUAGGUAAUUGGACCUAAAAGUAACAAUAUAUCAAGUUUUCAAUUGGAUAAUGGAACACUCAAAUUUUUUGAAUGCUAUUAGUAGUGACAAAUAUCCAAUGCCUAAAUCAUGGCCUUAGAUGUAGGCUAGAAAGAGCCAAAGAAUCACUGCACACUUAUGUUAAACUAGUACGAUUAAGAGCAAAUGCAUAUGAGAUGUCAAUCAAUCAUCACACAAACAUAUAAAAUAAACAUUAUUCUUAAAAGUCUAAUAUUACAGACUCCAUGUGCUAAAAAAUUUGAGAAAAAAACAUUGGUGCAGCAAUUAAUUAUUUAAAAUAAGUGUUUUUUAAUUCGAUUAACACAUGGAGGAAUAGAAAAUAAUUGUUUUUAAAUUAAAUUUAGUAACAUCUUUCUCUACCUCAAUCUUUUCAGGAUUAUCUGAUUUCUUUUGAAGCUCCAAAAGAAGUUCCAAGCUUCCAGAGAUUUCUGAGGUUCCAUGGAGAUCUUUUCCUUCCUCCUUAAUGAUCUUAUUAGAAUCAAUGGUGCUAGAAUCUUUG